AUGUACCACGCGGACACUCCGGUUCUGAGCGCGCGGUCCGCACCCACCUGACGAUUGCUCGCUACGUUUUGUUAGCC
Small RNA from Xanthomonas oryzae pv. oryzae, 77 nucleotides. It matches the Rfam family "Xanthomonas sRNA sX9". The record is from Rfam. Lineage: Bacteria; Pseudomonadati; Pseudomonadota; Gammaproteobacteria; Lysobacterales; Lysobacteraceae.